GAUGAACGCUGGCGGCGUGCCUAACACACGCAAGUCGAGCGAACAGACCAUGAGCUUGUGCCUUCGACGUUAGCGGCGGACGGGUGAGUAACACGUACGUAACCUACCUAUUAUACUGGGAUCAUUUCGGGAAACCGGAUCCAAUACCAGAGAAUAUUUCGAACCGCAGGGAUCGGUAGUGAAUGGUGGCUUUGCUGUCUCUUAUAGAGGGAGCUGCGCUGUAUUGGCUAGUUGGUAAGGUAACGGCUUACCAAGGCGACGAUACGUAGCCGACCUGAGAGGGUGAUCGGCCACACUGGAACUGAGACACGGUCCAGACUCCUACGGGAGGCAGCAGUCGGGAAUCUUCCGCAAAGGGCGAAAGCCUGACGGAGCAACGCCGCGUGAGUGAUGAAGGCCUUCGGUUCGUAAAACUCUGUUAUUGGGUAAGAACAGCCGUGUAAGGAAACGAGGACGUCUUGACGGUACCUAAUCAGAAAGCACCGGCUAACUACGUG
RNAcentral lists this ribosomal RNA (497 nucleotides) under uncultured bacterium. RNAcentral's name for it is "partial 16S ribosomal RNA". It matches the Rfam family "Bacterial small subunit ribosomal RNA", at positions 28 to 507 of the family's 1533-position model. The record is from RNAcentral.